Molecule: long non-coding RNA, 1721 nt
Filed under: Gossypium barbadense (sea-island cotton)
Lineage: Eukaryota; Viridiplantae; Streptophyta; Magnoliopsida; Malvales; Malvaceae
Description: long non-coding RNA (GBAR_LNC014773)
Source: RNAcentral
AAAUAAUGUCUUCAAAACCUUAAGCACAUUCAUGUUUAUUGUCAAAAACAUAUAAAGUCAAUACCAAAAUUAACACCCAUAUGAAAAAUAGAAAGUCCAUACCACAGCUCGUUUCUAAACAAUGCAAAAAUCACAAAGUUUAUAAAAGAGAGUUUGAAAUACAUUUGUAUAAAAUCCGAUAACAGUGCUCCGAUUGCCAAGUUCGAGUCCUAACCUCAUGAGUUAUCUGGAAAGAUGGGAAACCAAAGAAUGAGCUAUAAAGCUCAGUGUGGUCUUAACACAAAAAAAUUGGCACUUAAGUAGUAAUAUAACAUACAAAUUGCAGAAAACAUAUUAUCAAUCUCAUGGAAAAUUUUCAAUAGAUACACAGUAUGCAUGAAUAAUAGUACGUAAUUCCUACCCCAACCAUUUGCUAAACUCCACAGUAAAAGUUCCCCAGAACUCAUCCAUCUUUACAUACCACAAUAAUAAUAUGCAGAUGAACCGCCGGUUUAACAGUUUAUUUGAUCAGUGAACCGAUCCGGCAUUUAAAGCCUAUUCUUCCACCUUCAAUAUCCCAAUCCCAAUGCAACAGUAUGCCAUGCUUUUAUAACUCAUAAAACAAUAAUGAUAGUAGUAUUAACAUGCAACUUUCAUGUAAUUAGUGGCGGUUUGUAAUUUUAACAGUAGUAAUAGGCAUGCAUCGGUAAUAAUUGUAGAACUAACACAGGGAAUUUGUCACCACGUAAUCAACAUAAUCAAAUCAGAAAAUAACAUCAUACUACCAUCAGAUAUACCAUACAUGGUGUUGUUACCCACUAAGUUGAAUCGUUCGUUUUUCAGUAUCGGAUUAAGGCUUAUUUUCAUAUCAGAUAUGGGGUUACUUAGCAAACCUAAAACCAUUAGAAUAAUUUAAUCCUCAUCAAGAUUAAAAUCAGUAAUCAAAUUUGCAAGGGAGGUACAUACACACUUGCUCAAAUGACAACACACACAUGCAAAAACUAGUCAAGACACACACUUUCUCUCUAAGCCGUGCGACACCCAUCUUGAUCAUAUCUAAUCUGAAUCUCCCAGAUAUGUCCCUUAAACGGCAUACACACACCAAUCGUUCAAGCUUGUAAUUGGCACUAGCCAGAUUCAGGAUUAAAAAAAUUUUGUUUAAUCAAUACGAAAAGGAAAUAGAUUGUACACACCAUUUGUGUACUCAAAUCUGAAUCUCAUUGUAAAUAGAUGAUUUACACUUACCAACUAAUGCAAUUGGGAAUGAAUUAAUCGCUGGUAGCCUUAAGUAUCUACAGGAUCUGGACAAUCUAUAUGGUUUGCCAAAUGAGAAGAUUGGCAACUUAGUGAGUGAAAAAUCUAGCAGUUUUGAUCAGGGUACAAAAAGUGCGGCAGUGAUAAGGGGGAAAAGGGGGAAAUGGCAGCCUAAAAAGUGGUGGAGGUGGCCGCGACAAAGGAAAAACCAAGAGCGUUUGAAUGAUUCAAGGGUGUAAUGAGCGGUGACAAGGAAGAAAGAAAAGAAUAAAAGGGGAAGAGGAGGACAAUAUAUGGGAAAUUAGGAAAGAAAAGUGAUGAGAAGAAAAGAUGAGAGGUGGUGAGUGAAGUUAGAAAGAAUAGUGGUGAUGAGCUGAAAAAUGUUAGGGUUUGGGCGACACAAAACUAGGAAAUAAAAAAAAGGGUGGCCGACCAAGAAUUGUAUGUAUAUAUAUAUCUAGGGUCAGCAGCACCCUAGUGUUUUUAUU